Molecule: long non-coding RNA, 511 nt
Filed under: Cyanistes caeruleus (blue tit)
Lineage: Eukaryota; Metazoa; Chordata; Aves; Passeriformes; Paridae
Description: lncRNA (ENSCCEG00000009837.1)
Source: RNAcentral
CCCGAGGGUAGUGGUGGCUCUGGUGCUCUGCUGUGAGGACUAAGCCUGGGCAGGAGACAAAAACAUCCAUCUCACCGUAGCUCCUCUGACAGAAUGAGUAAGUGUGUGAGCUGUUCCUCAGCAUGGGAACUGCUGCUGCUGAUCUCUGUCCCCCUGCACACAAGCUGCUGAGGGUCCCAUUGCUGCACAUUCCCCUCUCUCCAUGGAGGGCAGCCAAGCACUUUUCUUUUGAGGAUGAUGAAUGUGCAAAACAGUUUUGAACGCUUCAGCUUUAAACAAAGCACUCUCCAAAGCUCCCUUCUGCCUUGGGCAGCCAACCACAAGUCUCCCUGGUGGAAACCUGGCAGCUUCCAUGAGCUCCUUUUGCAGGGCAGGAGGUGGGAGCCCAUGUGGACAUUGAGCAGCAGCUGUAGUCCCCCAGACUCUGGACACACUGACACAGGUUUGAAUGUGUCUGACUUGGCUGGUAUGUCCUGAAGACACUUGCUUGCAUAAAUAAAUUUCAAGUUAG